Molecule: microRNA precursor, 102 nt
Filed under: Marmota monax (woodchuck)
Lineage: Eukaryota; Metazoa; Chordata; Mammalia; Rodentia; Sciuridae
Source: RNAcentral
CAUGGAAUUUCUGGAUCAUAUGGUAGGUAUGUAUUUAACUCUAAAGCAAACUGCCAAACAGUUUUCUAGAGUGGCUGUACAUUUGUCAUUUCCAUCAACAAU